Molecule: ribosomal RNA, 316 nt
Filed under: uncultured eukaryote
Lineage: Eukaryota
Description: partial large subunit ribosomal RNA
Rfam family: Eukaryotic large subunit ribosomal RNA
Source: RNAcentral
AUAUUACUAAGGGGAGGAAAAGAAACUAACAAGGAUUCCCCCAGUAACGGCGAGUGAAGCGGGAAAAGCUCAAGCCUGAAAUCCACGGGUGUAACAACCUGUGGAGAUGUGGCCUAGUGACGCCAUCUCAGUGUUUGACCGGCUCUAAAUCUCCUGGAAAGGGGUAUCAGAGAGGGUGAGAAUCCCGUCUGUGAGCUGGAACUAAACGCAUACGAGGGGUGUUCGAAGAGUCGCGUUGUUUGGGAGUACAACGCAAAUCGGGUGGUAAAGUUCAUCUAAAGCUAAAUACUGGCGAGAGACCGAUAGCGCACAAGUA